CCUGAUAGCUUAGUUGGUAAAGAAUCUGCCUGCAGUGCAGGAGACCCUGGUUCGAUUCCUAGAUCAGGA
This 69-nucleotide transfer RNA is filed under the name Bos taurus (domestic cattle). It matches the Rfam family "tRNA". Rfam says of the family: Transfer RNA (tRNA) molecules are approximately 80 nucleotides in length. Their secondary structure includes four short double-helical elements and three loops (D, anti-codon, and T loops). Further hydrogen bonds mediate the characteristic L-shaped molecular structure. tRNAs have two regions of fundamental functional importance: the anti-codon, which is responsible for specific mRNA codon recognition, and the 3' end, to which the tRNAs corresponding amino acid is attached (by aminoacyl-tRNA synthetases). tRNAs cope with the degeneracy of the genetic code in two manners: having more than one tRNA (with a specific anti-codon) for a particular amino acid; and 'wobble' base-pairing, i.e. permitting non-standard base-pairing at the 3rd anti-codon position. The record is from Rfam by way of RNAcentral. RNAcentral also lists the same sequence under 3 other names. Lineage: Eukaryota; Metazoa; Chordata; Mammalia; Artiodactyla; Bovidae.